Molecule: small nucleolar RNA, 148 nt
Organism: Apus apus (common swift)
Lineage: Eukaryota; Metazoa; Chordata; Aves; Apodiformes; Apodidae
Source: RefSeq, a predicted model, not a curated record
GCCCGGCCCUAUCGAAGCUGCGUCUGUCUCGCUGCUGUGGCAGAUGCAGUCAAAAAGGAGCCAAGAGCGAAGGGUUUGUUUUUUCCUCGACGGUCGCCGCUCAGCUGGAAUCCGUGGCUGUGCGGCAACAUUCCGGGAAAAUACAGGG